RNAcentral lists this ribosomal RNA (612 nucleotides) under uncultured Gemella sp. Its description in RNAcentral is "bacterial SSU rRNA". It matches the Rfam family "Bacterial small subunit ribosomal RNA", at positions 52 to 644 of the family's 1533-position model. Lineage: Bacteria; Bacillati; Bacillota; Bacilli; Caryophanales; Gemellaceae. The record is from RNAcentral.
UACAUGCAAGUCGAGCGAAGUUUUUCUGGUGCUUGCACCGGAAAAAUUUAGCGGCGAACGGGUGAGUAACACGUAAAGAACCUGCCUCAUAGACUGGGACAACUAUUGGAAACGAUAGCUAAUACCGGAUAACAGCAUUAACUGCAUGGUUAAUGUUUAAAAGUUGGUUUUGCUAACACUAUGAGAUGGCUUUGCGGUGCAUUAGCUAGUUGGUGGGGUAAAGGCCUACCAAGGCGACGAUGCAUAGCCGACCUGAGAGGGUGAUCGGCCACACUGGGACUGAGACACGGCCCAGACUCCUACGGGAGGCAGCAGUAGGGAAUCUUCCGCAAUGGGCGAAAGCCUGACGGAGCAACGCCGCGUGAGUGAAGAAGGAUUUCGGUUCGUAAAGCUCUGUUGUUAGGGAAGAAUGAUUGUGUAGUAACUAUACAUAGUAGAGACGGUACCUAACCAGAAAGCCACGGCUAACUACGUGCCAGCAGCCGCGGUAAUACGUAGGUGGCAAGCGUUGUCCGGAAUUAUUGGGCGUAAAGCGCGCGCAGGUGGUUUAAUAAGUCUGAUGUGAAAGCCCACGGCUCAACCGUGGAGGGUCAUUGGAAACUGUUAAACUUG